Long non-coding RNA from Melospiza georgiana, 484 nucleotides. RefSeq lists it as uncharacterized. Lineage: Eukaryota; Metazoa; Chordata; Aves; Passeriformes; Passerellidae. The transcript is spliced from 3 exons. The record is from RefSeq and is a predicted model, not a curated record.
CUGGGACUUCAGGCAAACACAAAGCCACAAAACAAAAUAGUCAAAAAUUAUAAUUUCCUUCUUCAGUCACCUCCAUCACCUUCAGCAUCCCACAAUGAAAGCUCCCAAAUCAAGAUAGCACAGCUGAACACAUUAAUUAUGAAGACAUCAUUUGUUAACAAUGUGCUACUGGGAUAUUUACAAAUGCAUUGAUCUGCGAGGCAUUGAAGGGGAAGAAAAGGUUCAAGAAGAAAUAAGGAGGAAGAAAAAGCACCAAGGAGAGCUGCAGCACUUAAAAGGGAGUUUGUGAAGGCUGAAUGGUUCCUCCUCAGGAAAAAAGAAGAAACACAUCUCCUGAGUUAUCUGCAGGAGUCAGGAGCGUCGUGUUCUGCGCAGAAACACUGCCUUCAAAGCUCUGAAGCCAUUUAGGUAACACACAGCACCUUCAUUUGAAGGUUUCCAGAUUAUUCUGUGCGAGCAGUUUCUCAUGGAGAAGAUAUGUGCC